GUGAGUACUAGUCUAUGUAGUAUUUCAACUGUAGAGCUUUCUUCACGUAUUUUUUGGGUUUACAUCAGGUGAAAGUUAAACAAAUGUGUUUGGGAAUAUAAAACUAGCAAAGAGGUUGAAGUAGCUGUUGGUAAGAAUUAGAAAUGCUCUUUUCCUCUUAAUCCUUUUCAAAAAUGG
Molecule: long non-coding RNA, 177 nt
Organism: Protopterus annectens (West African lungfish)
Lineage: Eukaryota; Metazoa; Chordata; Ceratodontiformes; Protopteridae
Exons: 2
Source: RefSeq, a predicted model, not a curated record